This 68-nucleotide transfer RNA is filed under the name Nothobranchius nubaensis. RNAcentral describes it as "tRNA-Arg". It matches the Rfam family "tRNA". Rfam says of the family: Transfer RNA (tRNA) molecules are approximately 80 nucleotides in length. Their secondary structure includes four short double-helical elements and three loops (D, anti-codon, and T loops). The record is from RNAcentral. Lineage: Eukaryota; Metazoa; Chordata; Actinopteri; Cyprinodontiformes; Nothobranchiidae.
GGGUUAUUAGUUUAAUAAAACGUUUAAUUUCGACUUAAAAUUUUGUGGUUAAAAUCCAUAAUGACCUU